This 214-nucleotide ribosomal RNA is filed under the name uncultured bacterium. Its description in RNAcentral is "partial 16S ribosomal RNA". It matches the Rfam family "Bacterial small subunit ribosomal RNA", at positions 1289 to 1500 of the family's 1533-position model. The record is from RNAcentral.
CAGUUCAGACUGCAGGCUGCAACUCGCCUGCACGAAGUCGGAAUUGCUAGUAAUCGCGAAUCAGAAUGUCGCGGUGAAUACGUUCCCGGGUCUUGUACACACCGCCCGUCACACCAUGGGAGUCAGUAACGCCCGAAGUCAGUGACCCAACCAAUUAGGAGGGGAGCUGCCGAAGGCGGGACCGAUAACUGGGGUGAAGUCGUAACAAGGUACC